GGGUCAGUAGGUUGGUCGUGCCACCGGUACGUACUGGUCUCACUGAUUCCUCCUUCCUGAAGAACCGUAAUGCCAUUAAUUUGGUGUUGCGAGGAAACAGGACUGUUACUUUGAAAAAAUUAGAGUGUUUAAAGCAAGCUAACGCUUGAAUACACUAGCAUGGAAUAAUGAAAUAGGACGAUCGAUCCUAUUUUGUUGGUUUCUAGGAUUGACGUA
This 216-nucleotide ribosomal RNA is filed under the name Glomeromycotina sp. RNAcentral describes it as "partial small subunit ribosomal RNA". The stretch from base 40 to 216 matches the Rfam family "Eukaryotic small subunit ribosomal RNA", at positions 686 to 864 of the family's 1831-position model. The record is from RNAcentral. Lineage: Eukaryota; Fungi; Glomeromycota.